UAUGUGAUCGUCUCUCGCAUAUCAAUAAGCGGAGGAAAAGUCAACUACCUACGCUUAGGAUGUUGACGAGACUGUCGAUCUCAUCUAUACAUGACUCUGUGCAUAUCAAUAAGCGGAGGAAAAGAAACUAACAAGGAUUCCCCUAGUAACGGCGAGUGAAGCGGGAAGAGCUCAAAUUUGAAAUCUUAAAGGGUUUCCCUUUACGAAUUGUAGUUUAAAGAAGUGUUUUCUGUUGAGGUUUUGGUAAAAGUUCUUUGGAAUAGGACAUCAUAGAGGGUGAGAAUCCCGUAUUUGACCUUUACUUUCAACUUUGUGAUACACUUUCAAAGAGUCGGAUUGUUUGGGAAUGCAGUCCAAAAUGGGUGGUAAAUUUCAUCUAAAGCUAAAUAUUGGCGAGAGACCGAUAGCGAACAAGUACCGUGAGGGAAAGAUGAAAAGAACUUUGAAAAGAGAGUUAAACAGUACGUGAGAUUGUCAAAAGGGAAGCGUUUGACACCAGUGUUGUUUUUCUGAAAAUCAAUUAAAGAACUGUUUAUGCUAAGCUGUUUAGACUUUAUCAGCUAACUGUUUAGUUUUGAGCUUUUCUUUAAUGCACUUUUCAGUUAACAAGUCAACAUCAAUUUCUUUUGCUGUAAAAAAGCUUGAGGAAGGUGGCUUGAGAUUCGUCUUAAGUGUUUAUAGCCUCUUGCCUAUGCAGUCGGAGAGAUUGAGGUCUGCAGCGUAGAUCCUUCGGGGCUAAAUGCAUUUGUGCUAAGUUAUAGCAUUUUAUAGACAACUUGUUGACUAUGAUUUGUCCUGUAGCUUACUCGCUUAUGUUAUUUUACCUACGCUUAGGAUGUUGACGAGACUGUCGAUCUC
Molecule: ribosomal RNA, 858 nt
Filed under: uncultured Neocallimastigales
Lineage: Eukaryota; Fungi; Neocallimastigomycota; Neocallimastigomycetes; Neocallimastigales
Description: partial large subunit ribosomal RNA
Rfam family: Eukaryotic large subunit ribosomal RNA
Source: RNAcentral